This 114-nucleotide transfer RNA is filed under the name Stegodyphus mimosarum. It matches the Rfam family "tRNA". From Rfam's summary of the family: Transfer RNA (tRNA) molecules are approximately 80 nucleotides in length. Lineage: Eukaryota; Metazoa; Arthropoda; Arachnida; Araneae; Eresidae. The record is from Rfam by way of RNAcentral.
GUCAGGAUGGCCGAGCGGUCUAAGGCGCCAGACUCAAGGUUACCUUGCUCUGUUUCAGAGUAUGAGUGUUCUGGUCCACGAAUGUGGGCGUGGGUUCGAAUCCCACUUCUGACA